UUUUUUUUUUUCUAAAAAAUGGCAUUAGUCUAUUUCACAAGCAUUUGUAAUAUUAAUUUUGGAUGUUUUUCAGGAGCAUGAAACUUGACUUGAAGAUAUUAUUAAUUUAGUUUCGAGAAACACUGAGAAGGCAUGUAAUGAUAUAACUUUUUUUUUUGUUCUGUUGUUAAUUUAUUAUUAAAUUCUAUUGAAUGAUUUUUUCUUUAUUUCCCAUACAUACUAGUUCUUCAACAACAAUAUUUUCGAGAUUUUAUUUUUCUAGAUUAUUUUAUAUAGAAUUUUCUAUUUUAAAUUGAGUUUUUUUUUAUAAUUUUUAUAUAGAAUGAAGGUCAAAUAGAUAAAAAAAAAAGUAUAAAAUUUGAGGAAUAAAAUUGUUAUUAUACUAAUUAAAAAAGUGUCACUUAUCCAUGGAGCAACCAAAAAGGACAAUUUAAAAAAUGUAGUGACCAAAUUGUAACUUUUUUAGUUAAGUGACCAAAAUGAAAACUUAUCCAUACCUUAGUGACUACUUAUGUAACUUACCUUUUCUUUAAAAAAAUAUGAAGAUAUAUAUGGAUGAUUUUAUAAAACUUUAAUUUGUUGAACCUUUUCAAUGGAAAUUUAUAUAACUUUAGUGAACUUUUUUGAAGCUUUGUUUAUUGCUUAAUUACUCUAUAUCCAUAUUACUCCAUGUUAUUUUUUAAUUAUAAAAACUUAGAUAAUAAAAUAUAAAAAAAUAACUUUAUUAAUAAUGGAUGUCUAUAACCCCUUUAAACCCUUAUUAGAGUGAUGAGAUAAAACUCUCUAAUUCAUUUAUGAGCAUGAGAUGUUUCAAUAAAGAAAUUAAGAAUGCUUAAUUUACAUUUGUUGAUUGAAUGCAAAUGAGCUUAUAAAUAAAGCACCUUGUAAGUGAAAGUUUAAUAUGAAAAUUCUCCCGUAUUUUUCAUCUAUUAUUUUCUUAAUUUUUCUAUAACACAUUAUCAAUACGAGCCUCUACAAGUUCAUAGUGAAGCUCACGUCAUUGCGACUAUAUAACUUGUCCGUAAAGCUCCCGUUGAACUAUAUACGAUAGAUGGUUAAAAGAUUUAAUAUCGGUAUGGAUUUUGAUUUGAUGCACUUGACAUUGGGGUGUCUUAGUAUUCAUAUAAGUUAUUUUGAAAUAAAAGUUUUUUAUCAAUGAAUUUUGAGUUUUCUUACUUUUUUGAUAAAAAUCAGCAAGACGAACAAGAAAGUUGCUAUUAGAAUUUUCGUAGAAGAAAAGAAAUUAAGGUAAAUUUCACUUAUCACAUUACAUGCUUAUAUGUAUCACUUUUCAUUAUUUUUUAAGAUUUUAUAUUUAAAUAUGAAAUUAUAAAUUUUAAAAAAAAUCCAAAUAAUAGCUUCAAUAUAUUCAUUCUCUAAUAAUUUACAUUCAUUCAUUAAUAAAGAUUAUGAAUUUAUAUACCAUAAAUCUAAAAUGUGUUUGAGUUCAAUGAUUGCUAAAAUAUUUGCAAUAUCAAUAGUAGUUCUUAAAUUUGAAAAAAAAAAUAUUGCCAUUCAUUCUCGUUAACUGUAGUAUGAUUUUUUUUUUCAUUAUCAUAGCUAGUUGUCCUAAUUAAUAAAUAUAGAAUGCAUAUGUAACAUAUAAAUAUUAAUAAAAAAGUACAUAAUAAUCAAAUUAAAAAUUAAUGUAACUCCAACUAUAAAAUUAUGUCCAUCAUUCUCUGCUUAUAUUUUUUAACAUUCCUUUAACAAAUUUUUUUUAUCUUUAAAAUUGCAAAGUUUGCAUUUAAAAGAUUGUGCAAUUUUCAAGUUUAAAUCGAGUUAAAUUUUCAAAUUCUAAUAAAUUAAAUGCGAAAUUAUAUUAUUUUAAAAUUUAAAUUUAUAUCAUUAUUUAAUUUUACUUAAUCUACACCGUUUCAACUUUUCUUAUUAUUUUCCCUCCUAAACCCUUUUUACUUUACUACCCACCAUUUUUUCCAAAUCUAAAUCCCUAAAUCAACAUUUACUGAUAGAAUAAACUUCCUUCUUCAUCCUUUUUAUUAGUUUAUCUUUCUUCUUAUUUUUAUUUGCUUUUGUUUUCUUCUUCUAGAUAAGUCCAGUGCGAGCUAGAGCACAGUUAGACAAAGACAAGAUUUCGAGAGAAGUCAAGUUGCCAAUGCUUUGUAAAAUGCUAAUGUUUUGAGGGUAGCUUUAUGUUAUAUUUUGGACUUUUAUUUAUGUUUUCUAUUAUAAUUUUAUUGUAUUGUUGUUGUUGCUUACUUGGGCUCAUGUUGUGUUGAUUUUAUUUUUUUCAUUUUGUUUAAACAUAAUAUAUAUAUGUUAUCAGUCACUUGUUUCCUAUUAUGUGUUUUAUCAAUUAAUCCAAAAAGUUUUUUCUACCAAAAAAUAUUUUUGUAAAAAAGUAGAUUCCAAUUGAAAAUAAAUUUUAUUUAUUUUUCAAAAAAUUAUUCUAACUGGAAUAAAAUAAUUUAAAAAAAUAUUAUUUUUUGAAAAAUAAAUAAAAUUUAUUUUCAGUUAGAAUCCGAUUUUUUUACAAAAAUAUUUUUUGGUAGAAUUUUUUUUUGAAUUAAUUGAUAAAAAAACCUCUCUAUUUUUAGUAUUGAAGGGAAAUAAAAGAAAUAAUAAAAAAAGGGUUGAUAAAGCAAUUUACCAUUUUUGAGGUUUGGUGUCGCCACACUAUCAGCCUUAAAACUUUUUUUCAGCAGACAACGGAAAUGGAAAAUUUACAUGUUAAGUCUCUAAAUAUUUUAGGUCAUCAAAUUUCAGUCCAGUGUCGCCAAUUUGUCAGGUGACACCGAUAAAACACUGUAACAAACAUGUCAUUUUAGUAAAUAAUCUCGUCGACAUACCAUUUAAGUUAUUAAUUUUUUUGCAUUAUUUGAGUAAAAAAUCUAAAAAGUCAUUUAUACCCCUAUUUACUCCUAUAACCCUCUUAGAGUUUGUUAAAAAAAAACUCUCUUAGAGUUUGUAAAAAAAAAAAAAACACUCUCUUAGGAGUUGGUUAUACAUAUUUAAGUAUAGUUCUCACAUUAUUUUACAAAAAAAAAAUUUAAUCUAUCUUAGGCUUAACAAAUUUAUUGAAUUACUAUUUUGAGUACUGGAAAAAAAAAUAACAAUGUUUUAUUAAUAUCACAUUUGAAUUACACUAAUACAAAUAAAAAAAUUCUUAAAAUUCAUUUAAAUAGUAUAAUCUACUCUCAUCAUAAGUACCACCUCAAUAAGCUAAUCCCACUAAAUUAUUUGAAGAUAUAUUAAGAAGAGUUCCCACCAUCAAUUCAUCACUUCUUGAAGUCUAAUGUCACCCGACUAGCCAUAUUACAUGGUUCUUUCUCAUUGGCCCCAAUAGUAUCCCUAUAUUGAUAUCUGCCACUCUAAACUCUACGCUUAUGAGAUAUAGUGCUUGAUGGUUGAGAUUCACUCCAAGUUGAUCUCCUUAUAUGAAUACCCAGUCGUAACACCAAGGCAAAAACAUAGACUUAGAAUAAGGCACGAUAUCAAUCCUAUCAACCAAUACUUUGACAGAAUACUACCUCAACAUCUUUACCCUUUGUCAUAGUGGCACUCUACACUACUUAAAGUAUAAAUCACUUCCAUUUUAGUAACUCUCGACGUGAACCACUGCCCUUAUACUAUUUUUACGUUGUAAAACUUAAUUGUUAUAACAAAUAUUAUUUUAAGGGUUGAUAUCUACAUAAUUCAUAUAUUAUUGUAGAAAUAAACAUGUAAUAUUUAUUUUAUGGUAGGAAUUAGGUUAAUUUUUAGAAAAUAUGUUGAAAAUAAAAAAAAUUUGAGAAAGUAUGUUGAAAUUUUUGAAAUUUAUCAAUCUACAGGGUGCAUUUUCCUCACACUCUCUCCAAAAAUAGCGUAGAUAUAAGGUGUUUUUUCACUUUGCAAUUUUUUUCUUACGAUUGGAAGUUGAAAGUUUUUAGAUUUAUUUUUGUUUGUGUUUAAGAUAGACAUGUUAUAGUUUUAAGGUAUGUUUGAAUUUAUGGUGGUGUCGUGGAGUUGGGUGACCUAAAAAUUCCAUCUGCCAUGUGUGUAUGGAGCCAUCACUCACGAAGCCAAAUCGUGUUGCAACUCAAGGUCCCAAUUGAUGGUGAUUAUACAUCUCGGGUUAAAGUGUAACUAGGGCUUCAAUUUUACAAAGUUAUACUGUCAAGGGAUGAAGCAUAAAUGGAGCUCCAGUUGAUAGCGGUUAUGUGGGCAUGAUUGUGAGUUUUUCCUCAUAAGAGGAGGAUGCUUUAUAAAACCCAAACAGAAGUACGAGGAAGAAAAACACAAUGAUAUUUUAGUAUAAUCAAUUAAUUUGUUUUAUCCAUGUCCACUAAAAGUGGUGACACUAUUCCUAUAACUUGUGAUAGAAUUAGGGUGUAACAGGUUUCACUAACAAGGUCACUACCUUUCGUGGUGAUGGACAACACAAAUUACUUAAUUAUACUUGAAGACUCCUGCAUUUUUCUUCCUUACACUUCCAUAUGGGUUUUAUAGAGCAUGCUUCUCUAACAAGGAGAAACUCAUUAUCGUGCCCGCAUAACCACCGUCAACUAAGGCUCCAGUUAUGCUAUUAAAGGAGUUAUGCUCUAUCCUUUAAUAGCAUAACCUUUGUAAACUUGAAUCCUUAGUAACACUUCAACCCGAGACAGUAUAAUCACUGCCAACUUGGACCUCGAGUUGCAAUGCGAUCUCGACUUUUCAGGUGAUGGCUCUAUACUCAUAUGGUAGGUGAAAUUUGUAGGUUACCGAGCUCCAUGACAUCACCGUGAACCCAAACACAAGUUAAAACUAUGACUAUGUCUCCCUUGAAGCUAGAGAGAAAUAAAUCUUUAAACCCAAAAAUUUUAACACGCAAGAAAAAAAAAUUUAAAGGAGACUGAAAUAUGUUGGAAUAGGGGAUGAGAACGACCAUUUAUAUAGAAGCUAGGGCGGGGUAAAAAGAAAAAUUUUUAAUUUAUACCAAGAAUCUCGGGUUAUAGGGGGUCAGAGGCAAAAGAGAUCAAGUUGACUUGGGCGUUGAAACAACUAGAGAGAAAAUGCCCCUAGGUAUUUCAACCCCCAACCAACUUGAUUGCUUCUACCUUUGAGCCUUCUACAACUCGAAAUUCCCAGGAUAAAUUUCAUAGAUUGUUGUCUUGCUAAAAAAUGCUGCUGUGGGGGAGCGUUUCCUCCCCCACAAAUUUCGACUUUAAUUAUAUACCUUAAAAACCCGUGAUGCCCGAGGCACGUAUUGUUUCUGGAAUCGUUUGAUAUGCCUCGGGGUUGAGCUCUAUAAAAUAACCUCAAUAUAAUCCCUUGAGUUUCCAUACAUAUCUUUCAAAAAGAUUGUUUCCAUAAUGAUACCAGACAUUAAGAGAAAAGGGUUGUGGUGAAAAAACUAAAUUUCGUAUCUACGCCAUUGUCCAAGCAAAGGCAAUUUGUUAAAUUAUGUGUAGGUCUUUUAAUUUGGGUGAUGAAAACUAUAUUUUUUUUACUAUUCUCUCGAUUUUAAACAUAUGAAACUGGCUAUUUUGUUCAAGAUAAGCAGAUGAGUCAGAGUUGUUAUCCAUUACAAUAGACAAAUUUGUGAUAUCGAAAUUGGGUCCGUUUUUGUAUUAGCCUAAUUUGAAGAUUUAAUAUUCAAUUGAAGCAUAACGUUAAACGAGCUUCAGACAAGGAUUAGGCGCAAAGUGAGGAUUUAGAGAAGAACAUUGAGCCUGAAAUUUAGAUAUAUUUCGUCAUUAGACCCCAUUGGAUAUGCCAUUUUUGAUAUCACAAGGGACAACAAGCUGGAGACAGUGAUCAAAUCCCAUUGCUCUGGUGGGAAUGCUGUACUAGAUUUAUAUGCUGACUUUGUCGAAGAGGACGAAAGUGGCCCAAGAUCGAUUACAUUGUCCCUGCCAAAUUCUAUGCCAGAUCAAGAAGCAGAAAGUCUGACCACACGGUUGUGUGAUGUACAAACCCCUACCCACAUGUGUACUGUCAAUCUUGCUGCUGAAUGUGGUUUAAAAUUCUCAAACCUCAUUCAUAGAAGACUAGGGUAUGUGACUUUAUCAACAAAUUUCACCCAUUUAGAGGUUAGGAUAAAGUUUGACUCUAAAGAUACUUUUGUAGUUGUAGUCAAGUAAUAUAUCAUAUAGUUUGGCGUUCACUUUACCGUUACAUGCUCCCGAUCCAAGAAAUAUGAGGUGAAGUGUGUAAUGUAUGAAACAUGAUAUCCAUGGAAAAUUAUGACAUCUGCGAGGAAGAAGUCGACGUUCUGGAUGAUCAAAAAGUUUACUGUUCCACAUAAAUUUGUUGCAGUUGGUAUGUAUCAUGGUUGACAACAUCGACUAAAAUUUUGACAUUUUUUCCAAUAUUGUAUUACGUAUGGGACCUAAUUUAUUAUUUUCUAGACAUGUCAAACGAUUAUUCGAAAUUGGAUUCGGACAUGAUAUUUGACUUUAUAUUACCCAUGGUCAAAGCGAGUCCUAGGAUUCCAGUCCCAAUUUUGAUCGCACACAUCCAUAGUGAGUUCGAUUACAUUAUGUCCUACCACAAAGCAUGGUUAACAAAAUAGAAGGCAUUGGAGAAGAUGCAUAGUGGGUGAGACAAAUCCUACAAUGAAUUGUGGCAAUGAUGUCAAGUACUGGAGUGAUACGUACUAGGUUACGUAACCGAGCUGCAAAUGGAGCUUGUGUAUUACGAUGAUAACUUGGUCCUUGGAAAAAGACUUUUCCAUAAUUUUUUUAGAUUUUCAAGCAAUGCAUAACUAUAUUUUGAUACUGUAAGCCACUUGACCAAUUGAUGACACAUUCAUGUAUGGAAGAUACGGGCAUCGGUUGUUGUUAGCUGUUAAACAAUAUGGUAAUUGAAAAUUCUUGUCAAUAGCUUUUGCUAUAACUUUUGAAGAAUCCAAAGAUGACUGAGAUUUCUUUUUAACCAACCUAUGAAGGCAUGUUGUGCCGCAACCCAAUGUAUGCAUCAUUUCCAAUAGGGGUAUUGGAAUAUAGGCUACUUUCGAUUGAUGUUUAAGCCUAUAGGAUCAUGCACACCACAUUUAUUGUUUACGUCAUUUAAGGUCUAACUACAUGGGUCGAUACCAUAAGGAUGUAGAGUGACAACAUGUGAUCAACAUGGGUACAUUGUGCAUAGUAUUUCUUUUAUAUACAACAAUAUAACAUAUACAUUUUGGGUUACGUUUCUUGACUACAAUAUUGAUUAUCAUCGACAGGGUACGAGCUUGUCCAACAUUGAUUCCAUGAAAUGUUGGAGAGACUACGGGCUGUAAACUGAUAGGGUAUGGCAUACUUCGAUAGGAUACCCAAUGGCAGUGGACGCAAUUUUAUGAUGAAAAACUACGAUGCGGGCUAAAGAGGAUGUGUCAUUUUUCGGUAACCUUGAUGGUCAAGGAAAUGUAUUUUCAAUUAGUAGCCUUGUUUCCAAAGCGGACUGAGACAUACGUGAGACAAAUAAAGGGCGGUUACAUUUGGUGCGAGUCGGUGUUGAAAGAUGUUGGGGAAAAUAUAGAAAGAGUGAACUCAAUGUCUUUAGUAUGUCACUUGCGACCAAAUCUAAUAUUCCGGGUUAUAGAGUCCUAUAGACUCGACCAAUGAGUUAUCGGUGGAGCGUACCGCGUAGACCUGAGACAAAUGAUCUAUGACUAUGAGAGAUUGUAAGCACUUCGUUAUCCAUGUGCAUAUACAAUUGUAACAUGUGCCUCGACACAUGUAGAUUACAUGACCUACAUUGAUGAAGUUUACAAACUUGAACACACAUAUAAUGUUUGGAAAUCUAAAUUUCCACUUGUCCCAGAUGAAAACAUGUGGCAGCUUACCUCGCACACUCCUUUCGAGUUGGUAUCGAAUAAGAACUUGCAGCACAAGCCAAAAGGUCGAUCGAGCUCAACUCAGAUAUGAGGCAAUGUGGAUAUUCAAGAGUGAAGAGACACAUCGAGUUAUGUGGUUACUGUAGGAACCCAGGGCAUACAAAGCCAACAUUGUUGGAAAAAUGGGUUUGGAAAAUGCAUCAGAAAAUAAAUUUAGGGAAAAUGAAGUUUCAAAAAUUAUUUCCAAAAUAAGAUCUUGGUUGUGAUAUCUAAAGUAUAAACACUUAAUCAAAAUUGUACCUUUUCGAUUUGUCUAGGAUGAGCAUUUCGACCAAGUAGUUUUCUUUCGCUAUCCUCAAGCUCAUGUCUACCGAGUGUGGGCUCUCUUCGAACCAGAAAAUUUUUCACAAAAAUUACCAAUGAGGUAAUUUACCAGUGGGGUAAUUUUAUAAUUUCUCUAAACUUUUGGGUCAAGUUGUAAGUAAAAAAAUAUCUUUAGAAAUUUUCUAAAAUAAUCUCUUUAGAGAAUUUUCUUUCUACAACUUUCUCUUGAAUUCAAUGUGUAAAAUAAUAACCCAAGGCUCUCUUUAUAUAGAGAGAGUUUAGAGAGUUCAACCAUAAUUAAACUUAAUCACUUUAAUAUUAAAUUAAUAUAAUAUUUAUCAAGAUAAAUAUUUAUCAAGAUAAAUAUUAGAUUAAAUUUAAUAUUAAAUUUUAUUAAAAUAAUAGAAUGUUUAUCUACAAGAUAAAUAUUUAAUAUUAAGAUAAUCAUUUUAAUAUUAAAUUAAUAAAAUACUAUUAAGAUAAGUAUUAAAUUAAAUUGAAUAUUAAACUAUUAAACUAUUAUUAUUUUUGGAAUAGUUAAUCUGAAAUCAAAUUCUCUAGUAGAGUCUCAGUAGGAGUGUAACUCUUCCACUACUCAAUCACCAAAUGCCAGCUGCUGCCGGCUACCAGGACGCCGCCGUCCCAGCCACCGGCACCGUUGUGUCUGGUGAUGCAGGUGCAACACCUUUAUAGCAUCUCGAGUCGGUUCGAAUAUUGCCGGUUUGGUUUGGGUCAGUGACAACCCGAUCGGUCCGGUCUAGUCACCGGUUGGAUCGUCGGUCCAGUUUCACAUACUUGGUCUGAUUCGACCAAUUUUUGGGUCUUGGUCUCGGUUUUAGGCUCCCGGGCCCAAUUUACGAUCUUAGGUCUAAUUUUCAAGUUCAAUUACCUAUUGGGCCAAUUGCGGCCAAUUGUCUGACUUGAAAAUUAAUUUUCAAAAAUAUCAUAUUAAUUUUAAUUAAUUUGAUUAAUUUAAUUUUACUUGAUCAAAAUUAAUUUUCCCAAAAGCCACUUAGAUUUUCGAAAUUAAUUUUUCAAGAAAAAAUUUCCUACCAAACUCCGUUACACACUAUAAUUGAGUUUCCCCAGAAUUCGUCCAUCCAAUAACACACCAAUAAUGUUGUCAAGCCACUAGAUAAUGCAGUCAAGCUGCCCAAUACAGAAUAUUGUGGUCGAGCCACCAGAUUUACAAAUAUACUGCCAGAUAAUGUGGUUAAACCACUAGGAUAUGCAGAUUAUUAAACUGCUAGAAUAUUUCCACCUUUCAAUAUAAUCCCAACCCCAUGCAUGUGAUAUGGUAUACGAAAAACAGGUUUUCCAUAGGCAUGCUUUAAAUGCGAAUCAGACUUAUAGUACGGAUCAGACAGUGGGCAUGGUUAACAUGCGAAUCGGAUUAUCAACAGAAUCAGUGGCAGGCUUAUUUUUCAGGCUUAUCACAUAACACCAUAUAGUGACAAUAUGUGAGUGUUAGGAAAUAACAUGAUAUCUCAUUUAACAGUAAAAAAUACAAUCACAUUCAUAACAUCACAAAUUCGAAGGCUCAGAAUCACUUACUUGGAAUCCUCUUUUUUAACGGAUUUAUCAAUUCUUUUGAAUACAUAGUGUAUUCGCAUAUUUUCGUGUUUCAGAAUUGCUCAUACUGUUAUUUAAUAUUAAUACAAUUACUUUAAUCAAAAAAUAAUUUCACAGAUUUUAAGUAGUUUAAACCCACACCUAGAUUCGUAUGUCCCAAAGAUAUCGAUUCUGUUUUCCAACUCUAAAGGAGUAGAUCAGUCCUUGAAUCCUUAAAUUUGAUAAAAUUUAAUACCACAUUAGUAUAUUGACAUUUUCAUGUAGAUUUCAUACUGGUGAAUAAGUGAAAAUACUUAUUUAAGCGGUUGUCCAAAUAAAUGCACACUUCCAAAAUAUGGAAUAUGGAUCCGAGCGAUUUACGAUUAUCACGUCACGUAUGCACAUCGAAUAUUAACGUAAGAAUCAGCCUGAUUGAGAUGAAAAGAAAAGAUUAGAACCAAAUGAUUUUCCAAUACUUACGUUAUAUCGAGAAAAUAGGAGGCUCUACGAUUCCUGCGGUGACUCGAUUAGACAGGAGGAUUUGAAACUAACAAGUACAAUAAAAUAAGAAAAUGGUGAAUUAGAAAAAGUUAUCAAUAAAACCUUUCUAAAUUCAAAAUUUAAUACUGGAGUGAAUAGAAAAUUGAUUACAAAAUAGAGGAGGAGAAGAGCAAGGAAAACAGAGAAAAAAUAGUAGAGGACGAUGGUGGCAGCACGAUAACGGUGGAGGUCCAAUAGUAGUGCUGAGGUGAUGGUUCAGUUGGCUAAUAGUUGUGGUGAUUUGGUGUGAAUAUGGUGGCCGAUGAUAGUAUUUUGGUGGCAAAUAUUAAAAAUGUGGUGGUUGAAAGAGGAGGAAAAAGAGAGAAAGGAUGAGAGAAUAGUAAAAUGAAAAAAAAGUGAGUUAGGAGUGUCUAGGUGCAUGGGACGACUAUGGUAUGGUAAUGGAGGAAAAAUGGCAACAUGAUAGGACAAUGACAUGAAAAAGGGGAUAAAAAAAAGACAUGUGUAGUGAAUAAGGGGCUAAUGGAGGAAGGUUAACUUAUAAAAAAGGAAAGAAAUCUCCUCCACAAGGCAACAAAGGGUAGAUGGCUAAGGGGUGUUGACCAAGGAUUUUAUGUCCAAAAAAUUUAAAUAAAAGAUGAGAGAGUGGAGGCUUGAACAUAGGACCUUAAGGAAACUGAUUGCGUACUUAACCACUAAGCCACUUUAAUUCAUUGACAUACACUAACGAUUUAAAAUAUAAAUAAUAUGGGGCAUGACACCUCAUUCGACUUUGUCUUCAUCUUCACGUGCACAUCCAUAUUGAUCGUCAUAUUCAUUUCCUUCCUCCAUGGUUGACUGCAUCUAGGUCCUAGCCGCCCAUUGUACAUUCCCCUUGUAUGAGUCGGCGAUUGCGAGGAUGAUUGACUUCAGUAGAACAAUGAUGCCGAGAGUGUUUGCGACACUAUCGAUUGAUAAUUAUAUGGUGUCGCAUGGGUUAAUUAUGGAUAAAAGGUGGGAAUUGUCAACAAUAUCGGAUGAGCCAGUGUUACUGGUGGCAUCGACAUGUAAUAUGAUGCAGUGGGUGGCGGUCGUGCGAAAUAUACCCCUAGAGAAGGUGUUGAUACAAGGAAUGAUUACGUGUGUUAUGGUGCUUGUGUAAAAUAAAUUGAUGCUGAAGGUAUUGAUGUAGGGAAUGAUUGAACGUGUUGUGUUGCUUGUGUAAAAUAAACUGGGUUAGAACAAAAAAAUAUGUGAACCAUAAUGACCGAGAGGUUGCAUUGCAAUCAGGUCAUUGUGUGGAGCUAGAGCAAAUGUUAAUCCUCUCGUGACAUGUUCUCUUGACCUAGGAUUGAUGGGCCCUAGUCUUGGCAUCCUACGACGACAUUGCCUACUCUUUUCUAAAGUUGGCAGUAGAUACAACUUGCCAUUAUGCCUAAACCAAUCCAUGUAAUCCGGAGAUGUCGCCAGCUCCGGAUUGAGAAAUGGUUCAUGUGUUGGCAAGUAAUCGUACCUACGCUGCCAAAUCUCGAUAUACUUCUUGUGGAAUGUUGGCUAAUCUUCCUUGAGUCUCCCUCGCAAGUCGAUAUUGUACAAGUCAUCGAGCUCUUGGGGUGGCAGCGGAAUGCGUUGCAUACACCCGAACUACUGCAUCACUUGAUUGAAUUCGUUCAUCUCGACUGUUGCAAAAAUGAUCAAUGAAACUUUGACAUACUAGAUGUUGCGAUUGGGCAAAAUUUCGGCCGGGACGUAUUCUUGAAUCCUUAGAUCUGCAUAUGAUAUCCAAACAAACUGUAGUAAAAAUUUAUAAAUUUUAGCACGUGUCCAAUAUUUAAUUUAAAAUGCUGGAAUAAAAAACUGAUAACUUUGAAAUUCAUAAACUAACCUCCUCUUCGGUUUGUUGAUCUAAAGCUAGUCAGAUAUCCUCGAGCUCGGUUGGUAUACUGUUGUGUCUCGCAGGGUUGUUCCACUUGUUCAAAUAAUAUGUUAAUUCAAAAUUACAACAAUGAAAAAUUAAAAAGAUAAUAAUAUUAUCAAAUGAAUUUUACCAUAUUACAAGUGAGAAUUCAUAAGGGGGUCCACUUGGGGGCCGUAAAAAUGGUAGUCGAUAUCAUGCUCACGAUUAAAAAAGGAGCAUGCAACCGCUGAUUUUAACUUUUCUGGUUUCGCCGCUUGACACAUUUCUCGAUACAAUGUCACCAGCAUUGCUGAUUCUCAACUAAGUCAUCCCGUUUCUUUCAAGUCGGCUAGUAGUAGUAGCCACUUUACAUGUACUAGAUUUCAAGAUUUAUCUGGCAUAGAGCAGACCCUGAUCAACCUCAAGAUUAAUGCGCGCGCGGGGUUUUUUUUUUCAACGUCACUCGCAGAAGCCUUGAUAGUUUUGAAGUUUUCCUCCAACCAUCUCAUCUCGAUUCUGCUAUCCAAAACUUGUAUGACACCUUCUCUAGUAGUUGCUCGCAUAUUGCACUACAACCGGCACUAAGUACUAACCCCAUAACGACUUCCCCAUUGACCGGUAGACCGAGUUGUAAACUAACGUCCUUGAGAGUAAUUGUACACUUAUUGCAGGGAAGACGGAAUGUGUGUGUCUCCAGUCUCCAUCUUUCGACCAAACAUUGAUUAGGUGGGGGAUCCAAUUCAGUCCCCUCAAGCAUGUGAGCCACGUAAAAAAAUCCUGCAUCUCGCAAGUGAUCAUAAAUGACAUUCAAUGCACAUUCGCUUAAAUUGUUUAUGUACGUCUUCGAAAUCCGAUCUUCUGCCUGAGUAUAUAAACAUAAAAAAUUAAUAAUUUUAAUAGCAUAAUAAUUAAUUAUUUAAAAUUAAAUAAUUUAAUAAUAUUUUCUUACCAUUUGUAAUUGAAUGCCAAAUAUAUGCUUGUCAUCCAGAUGAAUAAAUUGAUUUGCCAUUUUACAAAUUAUAAGGAAUAAAAUAAAAUUGAAAAGAAUAAGAUUCAGAGAAAGAUUUAAAAAAAUAAUUGAGAAAUGAAAAAUGAGUAUCGAGUAUUGAGUUGAAAAGAAUGAAGUUUAGAAAGGUUUAUAUAAGAAAAAUUAUGGCUGUUGAACCCCUUAUAGUCAUUAGAAAAGUUACUAUUGAAAUAGUUAACAUUAAAAGGAAAAUGUAUUCUAUAGAACUCGUUUUCCUUCUUCUCUCAAAAAAACAAUAUAAAUCAGUAAAUUAAAAAAAAGAAGAAGCAUACUUUCUCAAAUUUUUUUAUAUUAAGCAUAUUUCUAAAAAUGAGCGCAUGAAUUAUUUUGAUAGGAAAAUCCUUUCAGUAUUUUAAAAGCAAUGGAAUUGAUUUCGUUUGUUUGUUGACAAUCCACAACCACAAAAUAAACAAGAUGGAUGAUAGAUAGCCUUAUAAACUCAAACACUAUUUUCUCUUUCGUCUAGUCCGUCACUCUACUAAACCCAAAUGGAAACUUGGUUCUUCAUCCUCCUCAUCGCUGUCUCCAUUUCCCUUAUUCUCAAAGCCUUCUUCAACCUCUUCUCUCCUCCCAAAAAGCUUACCCACACUCUCCCUCCAGGCCCUUCCACUUUCCCUAUCAUUGGCAACUUCUUAUGGCUCCGCAAAUCUUUCUUCGAAAUCGAGCCAAUACUCCGCAACCUUCGCAAAAAGUAUGGUUCCAUGGUCACUCUCUACAUUGGUCCUCGCCCCUCCAUCUUUGUCUCCGAUCAUUCCCUUGCUCACCAGGCGUUAGUCCAAAGCGGUUCACUGUUUUCCGACCGCCCCAAAGCUCUUCCUACUAGCAAAAUCAUGAGUAGCAACCAACACAACAUCAGCUCCGCCCCGUAUGGACCGAACUGGCGGGUUUUGCGGCGGAACCUUACAUCAGAAAUUCUCCAUCCUUCGCGUAUCAAGUCGUAUUCUCAUGCACGUAAAUGGGUUUUGGACAUUCUUUUUGAUGUUUUGCAAUCAAAGGCUAAAACCGGAGAACCAGUUCAGGUUUUAACUCAUUUUCAAUAUGUUAUGUUUUGUUUACUGGUUUUAAUGUGCUUUGGUGACAAGCUUAGUCAGGAGCAGAUCAAAAAGAUCGAGGAUGUUGUGCGAAGAGGGCUGCUGGGGUUGGAAAGGUUCAAUAUACUUAACUUUUGGCCUAAGGUGACCAAGGUUUUGCUUCGUAAGCGAUGGCAGGAGUUUUUUCAGCGACGUAAAGAUCAAGAGGAUGUGCUGAUACCAUUGAUAAGAGCAAGAAAGAAAGCUAAAGAGGAGAAAUUGAGUGAUAAGAAAAGCGAUGAUUAUGUUUUGGCAUACGUUGAUACUUUAUUGGAUUUGGAGUUACCAGAAGAGAAAAGGAAACUUACUGAAGGAGAAAUUUUUAGUUUGGCCUCUGAAUUCCUUAAUGCUGGCACUGAUACUACCUCCACUGCUUUGCAAUGGGUUAUGGCAAAUUUGGUGAAAUACCCUCAUAUUCAAGAUAAGUUAUUUCUUGAAAUUAAAGGGGUUGUGGGAGAUGGAGAGGAAAUCAAAGAAGAUGAUUUACAAAAGAUGCCUUAUCUGAAAGCAGUGAUAUUGGAAGGGCUAAGAAGGCACCCACCAGGGCAUUUUGUGCUUCCUCAUUGUGUGACAGAAGACACUGUGCUGGGAGACUAUUUGGUUCCCAAGAAUGGAACUAUCAAUUUCAUGGUGGCAGAGAUGGGAUGGGAUCCAAAGGUGUGGGAGGAUCCCAUGGCAUUUAAGCCAGAGAGGUUCAUGAGAAAUGAACAAGUGUUUGAUAUAACAGGGAGUAGGGAAAUCAAGAUGAUGCCUUUCGGUGUUGGGAGAAGAAUUUGUCCUGGAUUUGGCUUAGCCCUUCUUCAUCUGGAGUAUUUUGUGGCAAAUUUGAUCUGGAAAUUUGAAUGGAAGGCAAUGGAUGGAGAUGAGAUCAGCUUGGAAGAGAAGC
RNAcentral lists this long non-coding RNA (14976 nucleotides) under Gossypium raimondii (Peruvian cotton). RNAcentral's name for it is "long non-coding RNA (GRAI_LNC001922)". Lineage: Eukaryota; Viridiplantae; Streptophyta; Magnoliopsida; Malvales; Malvaceae. The record is from RNAcentral.